GACAGAGGGUGCGAACGUUGUUCGGAAUUACUGGGCGUAAAGCGCAUGUAGGCGGCAGCGCAAGUCGGGCGUGAAAUCCCACGGCUCAACCGUGGAAGUGCACUCGAAACUGCGCAGCUAGGGUCCUGGAGAGGAAGGUGGAAUGCUUGGUGUAGAGGUGAAAUUCGUAGAUAUCAAGCGGAACACCGGUGGCGAAGGCGGCCUUCUGGACAGUGACUGACGCUGAGAUGCGAAAGCGUGGGGAGCAAACAGG
RNAcentral lists this ribosomal RNA (253 nucleotides) under uncultured bacterium. RNAcentral's name for it is "partial 16S ribosomal RNA". It matches the Rfam family "Bacterial small subunit ribosomal RNA", at positions 524 to 776 of the family's 1533-position model. The record is from RNAcentral.